RNAcentral lists this ribosomal RNA (316 nucleotides) under uncultured Alphaproteobacteria bacterium. Its description in RNAcentral is "bacterial SSU rRNA". It matches the Rfam family "Bacterial small subunit ribosomal RNA", at positions 29 to 368 of the family's 1533-position model. Lineage: Bacteria; Pseudomonadati; Pseudomonadota; Alphaproteobacteria. The record is from RNAcentral.
AGUGAACGCUGGCGGCGUGCUUGACACAUGCAAGUCGAACGAAGUAUCUUCGGAUACUUAGUGGCGGACGGGUGAGUAAUACAUGGGAAUCUGCCCUAUAGUGGGGGAUAACCACUGGAAACAGUGGCUAAUACCGCAUAAUGCCGAGAGGCCAAAGCUUUAGCGCUAUAGGAUGAGCCCAUGCAAGAUUAGCUAGUUGGAGAGGUAAAUGCUUAACAAGGCUAUGAUCUUUAGUUGGUCUGAGAGGAUGAUCAGCCACACUGGGACUGAGACACGGCCCAGACUCCUACGGGAGGCAGCAGUGGGGAAUUUUCCG